Selaginella moellendorffii is the source of this 311-nucleotide long non-coding RNA. RefSeq lists it as uncharacterized. The record is from RefSeq and is a predicted model, not a curated record. The transcript has 3 exons. Lineage: Eukaryota; Viridiplantae; Streptophyta; Lycopodiopsida; Selaginellales; Selaginellaceae.
UACUGGCUCCACGAACGGCAAAGUUCUGGCUUCUAAAGUGUCAGAGGCCUACAAUGUUCACUUGUCGCCCCACUUUGUUAAGGCGAACGAACAACUUAUGCCUCGCAUCAAGUCUCUACGGAAACAGCUUCGGCCGCACGUAGACAAAGCUGCUGCGUACGUCCGUCCUUAUUACGAGAAAUCUCAAGAAUACGCUGCUCCUCACAUCGAAAAGGUGCAGCAAGUUUCCAAGGAGGCACUGUCCUCGGCUGUAAAUUAUCACAAUAAGAUGCAAAACUCAGUUCGCGGGCUUUUAUUGAAGCACGAGGUGG